CUCUCUCUCUCUCUCUCUUCCUCUAUCUCUCAUCAACAUUUGCACCCACAAAACAUUUCUCUCAUUCCACUUAAACAUAACCUCGUUUUUGGAAGUGUUUUCGUUCUUUUCUCAUAUAUUCAUGUGUUUUUUUUCCCUUUUGUAAUUAUUUCCAUAAGAUGGAUAUUAAGUUCCAUCUUGGGUUGAUGAGCAGUUAUUGGUGGUGAAGAAAGCUGAAUUUAUGUUGGAUUAUUUUUUUUAAUAUACUGUAUAUAUUUAUUUAUAAUGGGAAAUUGUUGGUGUAGAUGGGAGCCUUCAGUUUACAGAGUUUCAUCAAAUGCAAAAUCAGAGUCUCCAAAAGACCAAAGCCCUUCAGGGAAACCAAUGAAUGAUAUUAGGAAGCUUCCAUCAAAUCCUGAGGAAGUAGAAGACUUGCGUCGCGAUUCAGCUGCAAAUCCAUUGAUUGCCUUUACAUAUGAUGAGCUAAAGGUAAUCACUGGAAACUUUAGGCAGGAUCGCGUUUUGGGUGGAGGAGGAUUUGGAAGUGUUUAUGAAGGAUUUAUUACUGAGGAUCUAAGGGAGGGGCUUCAGCCCCUUCCAGUUGCUGUAAAGGUCCAUGAUGGUGAUAAUAGUUAUCAAGGCCACAGAGAAUGGCUGGCAGAAGUCAACUAUUUAGGUCAAUUUAGUCACCCAAAUCUUGUGAAGCUUAUUGGGUAUUGCUGUGAAGAUGAGCACAGGCUAUUGGUCUAUGAAUACAUGGCAAGUGGGAGUUUAGAGAAACAUCUUUUUCGUAGAGUGGGUUGCACUUUGACUUGGUCAAAAAGAAUGAAGAUUGCUUUAGAUGCAGCAAAAGGACUUGCUUUUCUUCAUGGUGCAGAAAGAUCUAUCAUAUACCGUGAUUUCAAGACAUCCAACAUCCUACUAGAUGGGGACUUCAAUGCAAAGCUUUCAGACUUUGGACUGGCGAAGGAUGGACCAAUGGGAGACCAGACACAUGUGUCAACGCGGGUAAUGGGUACAUAUGGAUAUGCUGCACCUGAAUAUGUAAUGACUGGUAUGUAGGGACAAUUUGCUGAAAAUUGUUGAAUUUUACGGUGAUAAUUUAUCAAAUUUUGGAGACUCUGUGCACCUAAAUUUUUGAACGUCUUUGUUGCCAAGCAAAACAGUAAAGCAUGUUUAUUGCUGUACUGUGGUAACUGAAUAACUGUUUCAAAGUUUCAGCCUUUGUUACUAUAUGGUAUUUAAAGUAUGAAAAUCGCAAUUGUUACUGGUUCAUAUGAAGGAAAAUUAGUCACAGAAAUCUCUGAUAAAAAAUGGUGACUGAUCAUUUUUUUUUUAUAUUUUACUAGGAGAAAAAGAUCUGUCAUGUAAUGUAUAUUGUUCUUUCACCACUAAGAGUAUGUUAGAAUUAUUUGAAGUUCCUCUUGUACAUUAUUUAAUUGAACCUCUUUCACAUUAAACAAGAUGCUAGCACUUGAUAUGAAGGUAGACGUUGUAAUGCCAUUAGACCAAUUGUCUGGUGGUCUGCUGGCCCUUAAGGCAGGCAGUUAUGGUAUCCCUGCUUUUCCCUUCCCCUCCCCUGAACCAAAGGGAGAUGGAAACUGUAGAAAGGUUAAUUCUGAAAUUUUGUCUACUGUCAUGCACCUUUUUGCAAUUGUUCUAGCCCUUCUCCCUUUGUAAGGUGAUAUCAUGUUGCAUUCAACUGAUAUAAGCUGCAACAAUAUUUUCCAAACUAAGCUGUAGUUUAUCUGGACAGGGCAUUUAACCGCUCGGAGUGAUGUUUAUGGUUUUGGAGUAGUGCUGCUUGAAUUGCUUCUCGGACGGAGGGCCUUGGACAAGGGUAGACCUAGCCGAGAACACAACCUGGUUGAGUGGGCCCGACCACUUUUGAACCACAAUAAGAAGGUUCUAAGGAUCUUAGACCCUAGAAUGGAAGGGCAGUAUUCAGUUAAAACUGCAAAGAAAGUAACCAAUUUGGCAUACCAAUGCCUUAGCCAAAAUCCAAAAGGGAGACCUCUGAUGAGCCAGGUGGUUGAAUUACUUGAAGGUGUUCAGUCAAAGGAUGAAGAUGAAAUGUUUCAAACCAAUGAGAAAGGUGUUACCCUUUACGAGGAUUCAGGGCUUUCCUCUUGUACUCCAGAGACGAGAAAUCCAGAUACAGGUAAUGGAAGGCGCAAACCGGCAAAUGGAAGAAGCAACAGCAAGCCCUCAACCGAGUGUGAUCUUUAUAACCCUUGCUCCGAUUUUGCAGUCUCGAGUCCAGUGAGAAGCUAGCAUCGCAUCAUUGAACUUUUAUAAAUAUGGAUGGAAGUUGAAAUUGUAAGAAAUCUAUCAAAUAUUCACCUUAUUCCCUUUCCCUUUCUAAAACAAAAUUAUUUCAAACAAGUGCCUUCUAUAAUUACAUACAAAGUACAAUGUCUGUCUUAUUAACCAUUAGAUUUUAUAGUAUUAUAAUCUUUUUUUUUGACAAAUAGUAUUAUAAUCCUAACCAUUGAAAAAUUAUAUAUAGAUGUAUUAUUGCCGGCCCAUCAAACCAGGCUCAAAGGUUUAAAAUUCUAUUCCUAUUU
Molecule: unclassified non-coding RNA, 2546 nt
Filed under: Hevea brasiliensis (rubber tree)
Lineage: Eukaryota; Viridiplantae; Streptophyta; Magnoliopsida; Malpighiales; Euphorbiaceae
Source: RNAcentral